RNAcentral lists this ribosomal RNA (388 nucleotides) under uncultured eukaryote. RNAcentral describes it as "SSU rRNA". It matches the Rfam family "Eukaryotic small subunit ribosomal RNA", at positions 587 to 972 of the family's 1831-position model. The record is from RNAcentral.
AGCUCCAAUAGCGUAUAUUAAAGUUGUUGCAGUUAAAAAGCUCGUAGUUGAAUUUAAGGUUAGGGCAGCCUCUCCUUGCCUUUGGUGAGGAAGACAGGUGUGGUCCUAGUCAUCUUUGGGAGGAAGAUCGUUGGUGUGAAAGCACUGAUGGUAGGAAUCCCAUCUUUUACUGUGAGCAAAUUAGAGUGUUCAAAGCAGGCUUAAGGCCAGUGAAUACAUGAGCAUGGAAUAAUGAGAUAGGACAUGGGUGGUCUAUUUUGUUGGUUUGCACACCUAUGUAAUGAUUAAUAGGGACAGUUGGGGGUAUUCGUAUUCAAUUGUCAGAGGUGAAAUUCUUGGAUUUAAGGAAGACGAACAACUGCGAAAGCAUUUACCAAGGAUGCUCUCA